RNAcentral lists this ribosomal RNA (758 nucleotides) under Salmonella enterica subsp. enterica serovar Senftenberg str. A4-543. RNAcentral's name for it is "partial small subunit ribosomal RNA". Lineage: Bacteria; Pseudomonadati; Pseudomonadota; Gammaproteobacteria; Enterobacterales; Enterobacteriaceae. The record is from RNAcentral.
GCCUGGUGCAAAUCCAGCUUUACCACCUCGUUAUAGGUGAUUGAGGUAAAGUAAGUGUGAUAAACCGAAUGAAAUAGCGUCGCAAAAGAGAUUAGAAAGGGAUUGGCGCUCAUUUCGUAGAUAUGCUCGUGCCACGCCAUAUCCACUUCAAUCCAGCGUUCACGCUUAAAAUGCUUUUUCAGCGCGACCAUCUCUUCCAUUAAGGCAUUAAGCCGCGCUUUCUGCUCCGGUGUGCCAAGAGUCGCCGCCAGCAGGCAGGCUUGCGGCUCCAGGCUAAUACGCAUCACCAGAAAAUGCUCUACCACCUGAUGAAAAUUUUCUUCCGUCAUCCACCAGGUCAGCAGCUCUUGAUCCAGAAAGUUCCAGUUUCCCUGCGGCAUCACCCGCGUACCAAUGCGCGGACGGGGGAGCACCAUACCUUUAGCCGUCAACGUUUUCACCGCUUCGCGAACUGCCGUUCGACUUACGCCGUACUGCUCGCCCAGUUCUAUUUCGCCGGGAAGAAUCGUACCGGGGGCGUAGUCACCCUUUAAUAUCCGCUGCGCCAGCUUUUCAGCCAGAACAUAGGAUAGAUUUUUCUGUGCGGCUAAUUGUUGUGCGCUUAAAGGCAUGAAUGUUCUUCCUUUCUCUUUCGUUUGGUUAUUAGUAUGCCACCUGGAAGUGUGAUUGCAGUUGCAAUAACGGCAAUUUGCUUAUUUUAUGGCACGUUAAGCACGCCAUUGAUGAAAAAAGAGACACUCAGAAAAUUAUUUUAAAUU